RNAcentral lists this small RNA (691 nucleotides) under Histoplasma ohiense. RNAcentral's name for it is "hypothetical lncRNA". The record is from RNAcentral. Lineage: Eukaryota; Fungi; Ascomycota; Eurotiomycetes; Onygenales; Ajellomycetaceae.
CUGACAUCCAUAGGUUCUAAUUGUGGUGUUAUCCCGCGUGUUUUGGGAUUCAAACUAUAUGAGGUUGCCUAGCUACCCAUAGAGCGUCUGAUGAUCUUGAUUCAAAGCAUCAAUGAAACUUGCCGGCCUUGCAUGCAGACGAAAAUUGGAACGAUCUCGUUGCCAUCGUCGGGUUCGACCUAGAUCUUGCGAAGCUAUGAUCUAUCCCAUCAUGUUGACCCUUCGCAGAAUCGCAGACUCUGGCUUGCUUGAAGAUCGCGCGAGCAACACCUGCAGCCCUACUGCAUAGCCAACCAACUCUCCGCUAGCUUUCUGGGGUUAAACCUCUCGACAUGCAGCCGUUCAACCUGCCGGAGUUGGGAGAACAUUAUUUGUUAAAACAACCUUGGUCUUAACAUAUUGUCAAUGCACAUUUUAAUUUGCACUCGCCCAAGGUGAUGCAUCUUACGUCAAUGCCAGGGUAAACAGCCUAUGAGAAUGCCUUGUCUGCACGAUUGCAGCUAUUUUCCCCAAUGAAUUGCGCUGUCCUUUCUUCCUUUCUUCUAGCACUUCUUGUGACUGCUCAGGGAGGAUCCGUACAUGUGAGAAUGCAUAUUCAUCAGCAAGAGAAUAUGCCUCGUCGACAUUAGCUACAUUCCCAACUUCUCCAGAUGAGUGCCAUGUAUGUUUUUGCAAUUGAGCCACUAGAAAG